UACACUCCUACGGGAGGCAGCAGUGGGGAAUAUUGGACAAUGGGCGCAAGCCUGAUCCAGCCAUGCCGCGUGAGUGAUGAAGGCCCUAGGGUUGUAAAGCUCUUUCACCGGUGAAGAUAAUGACGGUAACCGGAGAAGAAGCCCCGGCUAACUUCGUGCCAGCAGCCGCGGUAAUACGAAGGGGGCUAGCGUUGUUCGGAUUUACUGGGCGUAAAGCGCACGUAGGCGGACUAUUAAGUCAGGGGUGAAAUCCCGGGGCUCCACCCCGGAACGGCCUUUGAGACUGGUAGUCUUGAGUUCGAGAGAGGUGAGUGGAAUUCCGAGUGUAGAGGUGAAAUUCGUAGAUAUUCGGAGGAACACCAGUGGCGAAGGCGGCUCACUGGCUCGAUACUGACGCUGAGGUGCGAAAGCGUGGGGAGCAAACAGGAUUAGAUACCCUUGUAGUCCCA
RNAcentral lists this ribosomal RNA (449 nucleotides) under uncultured organism. Its description in RNAcentral is "partial 16S ribosomal RNA". It matches the Rfam family "Bacterial small subunit ribosomal RNA", at positions 332 to 797 of the family's 1533-position model. The record is from RNAcentral.